RNAcentral lists this ribosomal RNA (466 nucleotides) under uncultured bacterium. Its description in RNAcentral is "partial 16S ribosomal RNA". It matches the Rfam family "Bacterial small subunit ribosomal RNA", at positions 28 to 507 of the family's 1533-position model. The record is from RNAcentral.
GAUGAACGCUGGCGGCGUGCUUAACACAUGCAAGUCGAACGAUGAAGCCCAGCUUGCUGGGUGGAUUAGUGGCGAACAGGUGAGUAACACGUGAGUAACCUGCCCUUAACUCUGGGAUAAGCCUGGGAAGCUGGGUCUAAUACCGGAUAGGAGCGUCCACCGCAUGGUGGGUGUUGGAAAGAUUUAUCGGUUUUGGAUGGACUCGCGGCCUAUCAGCUUGUUGGUGAGGUAAUGGCUCACCAAGGCGACGACGGGUAGCCGGCCUGAGAGGGUGACCGGCCACACUGGGACUGAGACACGGCCCAGACUCCUACGGGAGGCAGCAGUGGGGAAUAUUGCACAAUGGGCGCAAGCCUGAUGCAGCGACGCCGCGUGAGGGAUGACGGCCUUCGGGUUGUAAACCUCUUUCAGUAGGGAAGAAGCGAAAGUGACGGUACCUGCAGAAGAAGCACCGGCUAACUACGUG